Long non-coding RNA from Mytilus californianus (California mussel), 339 nucleotides. RefSeq lists it as uncharacterized. The record is from RefSeq and is a predicted model, not a curated record. Lineage: Eukaryota; Metazoa; Mollusca; Bivalvia; Mytilida; Mytilidae. The transcript is spliced from 2 exons.
CUCAGUCCACAGAGUCCAUCUCUGCUGACUGGAUAUGACCCUAUCCUAACACAAACAGUUGUUCCAGUACAAACAAGUAUUACAGAAAAGCGGAAGAUAGUGAGAACACCCUAAAAAAAGGUAACAGUGCAGGACAUACAUGACAUACAGUAUCGUGCACUGCAGGGUAAAUUAGUGAUACAAGAGAAGAAGAACAUUCAAAUGGACCUAGAAAAGAACAAACUGGAACCCCAAAUUGAGCUUUUGCAGAAGUUAGUGGGUGGCAAUUCAGAACCGGUCACACUCUCCCAGGCACUUGCCUCUAUGUUUUGAACGUAUUAAAUUCAUUGUUAUAUUGUU